Delphinapterus leucas (beluga whale) is the source of this 6134-nucleotide non-coding RNA. Lineage: Eukaryota; Metazoa; Chordata; Mammalia; Artiodactyla; Monodontidae. The record is from RefSeq and is a predicted model, not a curated record.
UCCAUCCAAAAAAACAAACAAAAAAAAUCACCGAUUGUUUUUCUCUUGUGUGUUUCAUGUUACCUCCCUGGCACCAUGUGCUCAGGCCCCCAGAGUGGGAAUCUUGAAGUCGUUCUUCCAUCUCCACAUCACCCAGUAUUCCCUCCCCUCAACCUGUCCCAUCCACCCCCAUCUCUGCUGCUCCUGACUUGGCCUAGGCUUUCCUCAUCUCUGGCUUGAAUUCUUGCAGAAGCUGCUAACUCAGUCCUCCAGUCCCAUCCUCAGCAUUAUGAACACAAUCCUGUUCUGACAUAAUAACCUGCUUAAAGGUUGUUACCAGCUCCUUAAUGCAAACUCCUCAGCAUGGAGGUGUCCUUCUCGGUAAAAUGGGGACAGUUUAAUAAGAUAAUGUGUGUCUGGGACUUCGUAGAGACUCAGCAAAAGCUAGUUAAUACUCUUCUACCUGGAACUUGUUCUGCUUGGACCCUUCCCCCAUCCAGAGCAUCUCCCACCUGGGAAGUUGCGGCAGCCUCCAGCAGAGCAGCCCCUCACCCAGCGGCCCUCGUUCACGGACACUGUCCAAGUCUGAAGCUUGUCGGACUCCAGGGCAUCAGCUGUGAGGUUGCAGAUCUCCAGCUUUGUGAAAUGGUAGAUGAAAUCGUCAUAGGACAUCCUGAGAGGUUGGAAGAAGAGAGAGACCCAUAUGGGAGGCUGGGAAAGGUAAGACUCCAGGGCUAACAUAGCACAAUGAAAUAGUCCAGAGCCACUUGGUCAUGAUCCUAGAGAGGACCCUGUCCUUCCUUUUUAGGGUCAGUACUAUCAGUUCUGAUGUAUCCCUUGCAAUAACGACUCAAACUCAUGUGUUCUUGAUGGGAGAGCUUGGCAGCAAUUCAGUUCUCCAAAGUGUUACUGUGUGCCCCUCCACCGGGCUCAGGCACUGGGCCAGGGGAAAGAGAGAUAGUUGGGGAAGGACAGACGAUGAAACAAGCAAUUUUAAAGGUGGUGAGUAUCACAGAUAAAUUAAUCACAAUCCUGAGGAAAACAAGGGGAUCCUGAAGAAAGUUCCCUUUAAUCUGAGACUUGAAGGCUGAGUAGAAAUGAUCUGAGUGAGGGUGAGGAGGGCAUUGACUGAGCAGAGUAAGCAGAGCUUCCUCGGCUCAGGAAACGGCCCCGCGGAGGCUGGGAGGGAGCAACGUGUGUGGUGGAGGGGCACAGAGAGGUGGGAGCCACAGCGUGCUGGGCCGGUCCUGGGCUCAGUCAUCACCAUGACUCUUGGGCUCCUCUCAAAACCUCAGUCUUGCUGGGUCUCUGGCUGGAUUUGGAGAACAGGGCCCAGAUGUCCCAAGGGCUGGAAUCUGACGGCCUCUGUCCGGGGAUGGAGGCUUGAGAUUUCAGCUCCCACCCCGUCCCUUACCCUGUAGGGUCCUCUUGGGUCCUGGACUCACCAGAACUCUCCAUCCUCCGUGACCUGGUGUUGCAGACGGGCCUUCUCGUUCUUGUCCACAAAGCUCCAGUUCUUCCAACUGGAGGGAGAGUGGAGGAGUUAGGGAAGGAAAAAGAAAGGGAAGGCCUGGUGUGAGUUGGGACAGGAGGUGUCAGAGAAAUAUGAAUAAGUUCAGAGAAUAGGUCAUCUCCAAACUGCAGCCAGUGUGAACCAUCGAAAUGCAAAUCUGAUCUGAUACCCUCAGUGUAAAACCCAAUAAUUGCUUCCCACCAUCCUCAGGAUUAAGACCACACUUUUUGAAUGGUUUAUAAGGGCCUGACUCUUCUCUGGCUGAAUCUUUAACCGUUCCUCACACUUUAAAGUUAGGAGUUGGGCUCUGGAAAUAGGUUUUCUCAACUGCAAAGGGGGAAUGAUUAUAUCACCUACUCACAGGGCUGUGAUGAGCAAGAAAUGAAAUAACGCAUGCAAAACUUUUAGAACAGACCCAUCAUCUAAUAAGUAACUGUCUGAGUUACUGAGAGAAAGACCAGACAUGUAAACUUCUCCUUCCUCCUGCCACCCCACGAAACAUCCCAGUUUUAUGUUUUAAAAGGCUGGGCAGUUUUACACACUCUUUCUCUCGAAGAAGGAGGGAAUAAAGCACAUUUGUGUUUCAGGCAUGUGGAGGAGAAUGAAACUAAACUAGUUUGGAGAGGUAAGGGAUUGAGGAAGUGCUUGGAACCAGGGAAUACCGGAGGGGAAGUGGAGAUUCCUGAGACCAGCAGGAGGGGCACAGUGGCGGGGAGUUGGGGGGAGGGUCUCCUUGUGUGACUGAGGCUGGGCCCCACUAGUCAGUGACCCCUGCAGUGGAGGUGUUGGCAGCAAGUGAGUUAAGGCCGGACACCAAGAUCUGAGACUGGAGGACACAGCGAGGGUCCCUGUGGGUGACUCGGGUCAGUGGAGUGGACAACUGAUGGGGCACCGAGGGCCUUCCCAGAGCAGAGAGCCCAGUUCAAAUGCCACUUCCUCCAGGCAACUUUCUCCCUUCCUGUCCCACCCAGACCAGGAGAAGGGCUCCCUCUCUGUGACCCUUACCAUAGCAUUUCUCUCAACGAUCAGUGUUUUUCUGUCCUUCCCACUGGACCUUAAAGCCCACAGGGCAGGCCCUGAAUCUCUGCAUUCAUUUCUAAGUCCCCAGACAGUAGCAUGGGGCCUGGCACAUACUGCACACUGAGGAACUGGGGAUUUGUUGCGCCGUAAGAGAAGGGAACGGUAAGGAGACCAGGAUCAGCACCUUAUCGGUCUACCAGGCGAGGCUGCCUGCUCACGGAAGGGCCCCAGUGCUUAGACCUGUGCUUGGGAUUCAGUAGGUGCUCAGCGAAUACUUGCUAAGUGAAUGAAUGGCCGAAUGAACCAGUAAUUACGGUGCCCUGAGAUAAGAGGUAUGUGGAGGUAAGCCAGGGGCUGAAGGACACACACAGCCUGGGUGUGGUCCUUCCCAGCUGCUGAGUCCUGCUCUCCCGCCUUGGGAAUAAAGGAGCUCCAGGGCCUACUCUCCAACCAGAGAGGCGGAGUCAGGAGCCAGUGAUUGGGGUGGGACAAUAGAGGCUUUGUGAACCUUCUGGAGCCUUCAUAAGAGCUUCCCCAGGUGUGCUAUUUUUGCUGCCCCCAGUCCCUUGCUCUCAGUGAUAAGCAGUAAAUUUCUUGCAAAGGGCCUGUGCAUCUCUUUAUGGGGAUAGUGAGGGAGAGGAAAUCUUAGCACUGGUUAAGCGCUCUCCUGGCACAACCGCAUUUUCUCCUCAUAACAGCCCACCGGGUAGGUGCUAACGUUGUUCCCAUUUUACAGAUAAGGCAACAGAGAUUCCGAGAAGGGAAGUCACCUGUCCAGUCCAGACCCCUGCAUCAAGACUCCCCUCCUGCCUGGACCUAGCCCAGGCUUUCUAGACAUCUUUCCUUUCCAGACAGUGGCCAUCAGCAAGCUCUCUGGAUCCCAGGUUCCCGUGGCUCUGCUCCCAGCCCUUCCUGAAGCCCACGUCCCCUCUUCUCCUCUGCGGAUCCUUGGUUUUAAGGGUGAUUUUAGACCAAGCAUUUGUAGUACUCUUGUGGCUCGGUACCCAGCCCUGCCUUGCCCCAGGCCUCGUUGUCCCCUAUUCGUGGGGUCCCCGCACCCACCUGUCACUCCAGGAUCCAUUCCACUCCACCUGGCCCCAGGGGUUCCGCAGCCGCACCAGCUUCACUUUCUCACCCUUGUACAGGGCCUUGAGCAAAGAGAAAAAGCUUUCUCCCUUUGGGCCCUUUCUGAAAGGGGGUCUUCUGUCUUGCCCUGAGGGCUGGGGUGGGAGUGGGGAGAGAAUCCUGUACAGGGGCCUGUCCUGCCUGGCCCCGGUCAAGGACACUAAUCACAAGUCCCCUGUGGAAUGGCAGGGUGAUGGGUCAGAACCUUAGGGCUGAGUCUGCAGGAGUCAGGCUUGGCCACCACCUUGCCGUCUUCUAAGAAGUGAUUUUCCCAGUGAACAUCUGGCCAUUCAGAGCUUUGGGAGAGGAGGCAGGGAAUAUAAUGUAGGGCUCUGCUAGCACAAGUUGCCUCUGUGUGAAUUAGAUAAAACGCCCCUGCUGGCUGAGGAACUAUAGAAAAUGUCCCUUCCAGAUGGAUCAAUCAGAAAAAGGGGCCCUUCCUCCUGUCUGCUGCAUGGGCUGCUGCAGACGACUGCCCCUCUCUGCCCAUCUCUGUGAACAGGGCACAACUCGCCCAAUUGUGCACAAGGGGCCUGACAAGGUUCCUGUCUGUGACGUGACCCAGUGAAGGCCAGACAUCCCAGGGGAAGCAAAACCUUGGAACUGACCAUGAAAAACAAGGAACACAAGAGCCCAUGAUAUCAACUUCAUAAAACCAAAGUGCUUUCUAUUUGUUCUUUGGAAAUGUUGGGGCAAUUGCUAUCUUUAGCACUAAAAACAAACAUAAACUGAGCACCAUCUUGUGGCAAGAUCCACCUGCCAGUCCCAGUGGUCUCCUCCAACCCCAGGCGCUCGGCCUGAGUUCCUGAUUGGAGGCAAAUUCUACAGAUGUGAAGGGACACAGAAAGCCAAGUCCUGACUUCGGGAGGUUCACCCAAGUAGCCCCUCAAGUCCCGUCCCGCCGAGUCCCGCCAGGCUCACCUCCUCCAGCCCAGUGACUGAGUAGGCGUGGCCUUUGACCAGCCCACAGGCCAUUCUUGUCUCGUACUGAACUGGAACAAUCGUCUGUGGAGUGAAAACCAGACAACUUGUCAGGGGUUGCUGCCUGAGACAAAGUUCACACUGGUUCAUGUCCUGGGUUCUGCGAGGACGAGGACUCCUCCGCGCCCUGGAAGUGUGCCUCCCAGCCAUGAGAAGGCCCUCACUAGCCCUUUCAGAGAGCCAAGAAGAUGCAGCCCAGACAAGUGGUUUCCCCAGACCGUCGGAGAGCGACAUGGAGCUGGGGCACGAGAACAUGCUCAAGAAAUCAAAAGCGCCCAGGGAGAGAAUUCUGAGGAGGCCAGAGGAGAGUCCUGCUGAGACAUGACCAUGCCUCAGGGAGCAGGGGUAGUUCCUCCAUUUGAGAUUUGCAGCCACAGGAGAUCCUGGGCAGAGGGGUAGGAUCACCAAAGCCCAGUGAGCCCUAGACGGAUCUCUGUGGCUUCACUUUGCCUGAUAGCAUAACAGCUUUAAGAGGAGCAGCCUGGAGGCCUUUUCAAGAGAAACUGCCUGGACCAUGGAGUUUGAAGGACCUCCCACAGAGAUUCCCUCCAAAAGCUGCCUCCCGCACCUUCCUCAGGAACCUUGGAGAGGGCAAGUUAUUCCAACCCAGACCCUUGGAAGGCCUCAGGAGGAGCCUGUGUGUGAGGUGCUGGCUGCUGAGGAAGAGCUUUCCCACAGUCCACACCAAAGAUAAUACUUCCCGAACAAGAGGCUGAGACAGAGGAGACUGGUGAAGCAGACAAGCUAACCAACCAGACAGAAAAUUGACACUCAUCCACAUGGCAAAUGUCAUCUUUGUUGAAAGACUCGUUUAAUAUGAAGCUAUUCUGGGGCAAUUUCAACAAGAGUUCGAGUUACAAAAGCACAUUUUGUGAGCAUAUAGAUUCUGUGUGCCCAAGGGACAUGCGUGGUACAUGGACAGUUUCAGAGCUGACUUCUAAGGAAGAUGAGGACACCAAGGCUCAGAGAGGUUAAGAAACCUGCCCAAGGACACACAGCUAGUAAGUGAGAGAAGCCAGAUACAUGGCUUCUUUUCCCAUUGUUCCACACUGCUCCCUCACACUGAUAUACUGUCUGAGUAAAGAUGCACCUUGAGAGUUAGGGCAGUGUCAUUACUGUCACAGCUUUGGAGGGACACUAGAAAACAUGGCUCUUGCUUUUUUUUUUCUCUGCCAGGGAAAAGAGGUACAGGAGGGAAAGUAAAGAUCUUUUCCCCCAAGACAUGGUAACAUAGAUAUUUAGUAUCAGCAUAUGUCCCAAGGGCCACAGGACUUGAAAGCUGGGGAGAGCCGAGGGUAAAUUUGGUGUGGGCCUCAGAGGCCUCCCCAUCUGUUGGCGGGUGCGUUCUUUUUUAUUUUUGGCGGGUGCGUUCUUUAUUCAAGGUAACCCAAUAGGACAUCCCUGGCCUGAGCAGUUUUCAAAUCCAGGCACUACCAAAUAUGUGUAUUCCAACAGAGACCGACAGAGGGUGCUCUUGUUUUUGUUUGGAUGUGUCAUGCUUUGGGUUUUUUUUGUU